RNAcentral lists this ribosomal RNA (157 nucleotides) under Derxomyces mrakii. RNAcentral describes it as "5.8S ribosomal RNA". It matches the Rfam family "5.8S ribosomal RNA". Rfam says of the family: 5.8S ribosomal RNA (5.8S rRNA) is a component of the large subunit of the eukaryotic ribosome. RNAcentral also lists the same sequence under 4 other names. The record is from RNAcentral. Lineage: Eukaryota; Fungi; Basidiomycota; Tremellomycetes; Tremellales; Bulleribasidiaceae.
AACUUUCAACAACGGAUCUCUUGGCUCUCGCAUCGAUGAAGAACGCAGCGAAAUGCGAUAAGUAAUGUGAAUUGCAGAAUUCAGUGAAUCAUCGAAUCUUUGAACGCAAAUUGCGCCCUUUGGUAUUCCGAAGGGCAUGCCUGUUUGAGUGUCAUAU